RNAcentral lists this small RNA (138 nucleotides) under Choloepus hoffmanni (Hoffmann's two-fingered sloth). RNAcentral's name for it is "7SK RNA (ENSCHOG00000015900.1)". It matches the Rfam family "7SK RNA", at positions 109 to 263 of the family's 331-position model. From Rfam's summary of the family: 7SK was discovered as an abundant small nuclear RNA in the mid-70s but a possible function has only recently been suggested. Two independent studies have found that 7SK RNA binds the CDK9/cyclin T complex (known as elongation factor P-TEFb). The record is from RNAcentral. Lineage: Eukaryota; Metazoa; Chordata; Mammalia; Pilosa; Megalonychidae.
ACCCUCCCCCAGACGAGUCAACUGCGACCGCACCUUCUAGAGGAGGACUGUUUUUUGGUCAAGGGUAUGUGAGUAGCUGUGCUCCCAUGUUAGAGCCUCCAAACAUGCUCUCAGGGCAUAUUGUUUUUAAUUCAAAUC